AAAUUGAAGAGUUUGAUCAUGGCUCAGAUUGAACGCUGGCGGCAGGCCUAACACAUGCAAGUCGAACGGUAACAGGAAGCAGCUUGCUGCUUUGCUGACGAGUGGCGGACGGGUGAGUAAUGUCUGGGAAACUGCCUGAUGGAGGGGGAUAACUACUGGAAACGGUGGCUAAUACCGCAUAACGUCGCAAGACCAAAGAGGGGGACCUUCGGGCCUCUUGCCAUCAGAUGUGCCCAGAUGGGAUUAGCUUGUUGGUGAGGUAACGGCUCACCAAGGCGACGAUCCCUAGCUGGUCUGAGAGGAUGACCAGCCACACUGGAACUGAGACACGGUCCAGACUCCUACGGGAGGCAGCAGUGGGGAAUAUUGCACAAUGGGCGCAAGCCUGAUGCAGCCAUGCCGCGUGUAUGAAGAAGGCCUUCGGGUUGUAAAGUACUUUCAGCGGGGAGGAAGGUGUUGUGGUUAAUAACCACAGCAAUUGACGUUACCCGCAGAAGAAGCACCGGCUAACUCCGUGCCAGCAGCCGCGGUAAUACGGAGGGUGCAAGCGUUAAUCGGAAUUACUGGGCGUAAAGCGCACGCAGGCGGUCUGUCAAGUCGGAUGUGAAAUCCCCGGGCUCAACCUGGGAACUGCAUUCGAAACUGGCAGGCUUGAGUCUUGUAGAGGGGGGUAGAAUUCCAGGUGUAGCGGUGAAAUGCGUAGAGAUCUGGAGGAAUACCGGUGGCGAAGGCGGCCCCCUGGACAAAGACUGACGCUCAGGUGCGAAAGCGUGGGGAGCAAACAGGAUUAGAUACCCUGGUAGUCCACGCCGUAAACGAUGUCUACUUGGAGGUUGUGCCCUUGAGGCGUGGCUUCCGGAGCUAACGCGUUAAGUAGACCGCCUGGGGAGUACGGCCGCAAGGUUAAAACUCAAAUGAAUUGACGGGGGCCCGCACAAGCGGUGGAGCAUGUGGUUUAAUUCGAUGCAACGCGAAGAACCUUACCUGGUCUUGACAUCCACAGAAGAAUCCAGAGAUGGAUUUGUGCCUUCGGGAACUGUGAGACAGGUGCUGCAUGGCUGUCGUCAGCUCGUGUUGUGAAAUGUUGGGUUAAGUCCCGCAACGAGCGCAACCCUUAUCCUUUGUUGCCAGCGAUUAGGUCGGGAACUCAAAGGAGACUGCCAGUGAUAAACUGGAGGAAGGUGGGGAUGACGUCAAGUCAUCAUGGCCCUUACGACCAGGGCUACACACGUGCUACAAUGGCGUAUACAAAGAGAAGCGACCUCGCGAGAGCAAGCGGACCUCAUAAAGUGCGUCGUAGUCCGGAUUGGAGUCUGCAACUCGACUCCAUGAAGUCGGAAUCGCUAGUAAUCGUGGAUCAGAAUGCCACGGUGAAUACGUUCCCGGGCCUUGUACACACCGCCCGUCACACCAUGGGAGUGGGUUGCAAAAGAAGUAGGUAGCUUAACCUUCGGGAGGGCGCUUACCACUUUGUGAUUCAUGACUGGGGUGAAGUCGUAACAAGGUAACCGUAGGGGAACCUGCGGUUGGAUCACCUCCUUACCUUAAAGAAGC
Molecule: ribosomal RNA, 1554 nt
Filed under: Salmonella enterica subsp. enterica serovar Worthington
Lineage: Bacteria; Pseudomonadati; Pseudomonadota; Gammaproteobacteria; Enterobacterales; Enterobacteriaceae
Description: bacterial SSU rRNA
Rfam family: Bacterial small subunit ribosomal RNA
Source: RNAcentral